CUUGGAAGAACGAGGUCGAUGCUCCGCUCCCAGAUGUCCGCUCUGCUCUGGGCUGGACGCCAAGGCCUCAGCCACUGCAGGGACCUGAGCACAACCUGUCACCUCCUCCUCGAAUAUUUUCUCUUCCUGCCGCCACCAGCGUCCUGCUUGCUGUGACACAAGACGUGCAGAUUCCCGUCUCGGCAACAGGGCUGGGGAUGGGGGCUUGGCCCCAGGUCAGGGGUUCCAAUACAUCAGCCGACUCAAGGCCCUUUACGUCAAUUGGCGGUCUUCUGGGACCACCCUGGGUAGCACAGCCCUAAGCUGCUGGGUCUCAACAGCUCCCGGCACUAUCGCCUCCUCACAGAAUCCCCUCUGCCCCCUCAGCCCCUCCACUGAGACAGGAGUGGAGUGAGGAAGGGCCCUGCUGCCGGCUCCCCAGAGCCUGGCACUUAGCAGGGCUCAAUAAAUAUCUGCUGACUGAGU
Long non-coding RNA from Bos taurus (domestic cattle), 465 nucleotides. NCBI's taxonomy places the organism in Eukaryota, Metazoa, Chordata, Mammalia, Artiodactyla, Bovidae. The record is from Ensembl.